This is a long non-coding RNA of Salvelinus sp. IW2-2015, 1014 nucleotides long. RefSeq lists it as uncharacterized. The record is from RefSeq and is a predicted model, not a curated record. Lineage: Eukaryota; Metazoa; Chordata; Actinopteri; Salmoniformes; Salmonidae.
AUUGGGAAUCAUACUUAGGCAGCCUGUUUUGCCACCUUAGGUUGUGGGAUGUUGUUUUUUGUUAGCCCUGUGAAGCCUACGGAACAUGACGUUCGUUAUUCUUUUGUUGUUUUGUUUGGUGUUCUGAGUCAAUAAAGAAUCAUGAACACGUACAACGCUGCACCUUGGUCCACUUCUUCCGACGAGCGUUACAACAUGUUAAAAAGGUGGACUUUAUAUUACUUAAUACAAUGGUCAUAAACUGUAGAGCACAAGCAGAUAAGUUGUCUAAGAAUAUUGAAAGCAUUGUGAAUGCAGCUGAAGGUUUUUGGGGUCUUCGUGAUUUCCCAUCCGAGGCCGUGCAAGAAAUCCUGUCAGUGAAUGUUCCGCCAUCACAGGCCCCUGAGCUUGUGUAGGAAUAUAGUUUUGAGUGGACUGUGGUUGAAGAAGUGGAUAGGUUUUGUUAGUUGAAGUGUUUAAUUUUGUAUGAUUUUCCCCCCUCCCUGCAAUGUAUUUUUUGUUUCUUAUUCAAUACCCCGUCCGGUGGCGGUAAUGCACCAUUAACAUUGAAUGCCAACCGCUGUUAAACCCCAUCGAAGAAGAUUGGAAUUACUUUUCGACUGACACAUGGGCAAGGCGUUGUGGCUGACCAAAAACUGUUGCAACUAAUAUGACUGAAUAUCUUCGCCGGGUGACCAAAAGAACAAGAGAAACCAAACCCUUCGCUCUGACUCUCGGGGACAAUCACCUCUACUCCCUGGCAUUCACUAUCGUGACUGGGCAGGCUCUGGAACAGAAGACAUUAUGUUUUGGUGUUUUACAAGAAUUCAUAUGGAAAAUUGAUACCUGGUAGGGGUUGGGGGAGUAAAGGGUAAAGUGUUUACUUUUCUUCAGCCCCGUUCCUCAGCUUUAAUUGCUAGGGCUACUGUGAUUUUGAAAUGAUGGAUUGUGCUAACAUUUUUAUUUGUGUGUUCCUUAUUUGUUUAUCUUUUGCAUGACUUCAUUUUGGAGCUGAAAUUAAUAACUCAAAACACA